This 391-nucleotide ribosomal RNA is filed under the name Rhizosolenia sp. Its description in RNAcentral is "partial small subunit ribosomal RNA". It matches the Rfam family "Eukaryotic small subunit ribosomal RNA", at positions 582 to 975 of the family's 1831-position model. The record is from RNAcentral. Lineage: Eukaryota; Bacillariophyta; Coscinodiscophyceae; Rhizosoleniales; Rhizosoleniaceae.
AUUCCAGCUCCAAUAGUGUAUAUUAAAGUUGUUGCAGUUAAAAAGCUCGUAGUUGGAUUUCUGGCGGGAGCGAUCGGUCCUUCACUCAGUGUUGGAACCUGAUUGUCUCCUGCCAUCCAUGGAGAAAACUUAUCUGGCAUUAAGUUGUCGGGUAGGCAAUCUCCAUCUUUUACUGUGAAAAAAUUAGAGUGUUCAAAGCAGGCUUAUGCCGUUGAAUAUAUUAGCAUGGAAUAAUAAGAUAGGACUAUGGUACUAUUUUGUUGGUUUGUGCACCAUGGUAAUGAUUAAUAGGGACAAUUGGGGGCAUCCGUAUUUCGUUGUCAGAGGUGAAAUUCUUGGAUUUGCGAAAGACGAACAACUGCGAAAGCAUUUGCCAGGGAUGUUUUCAUCG